Molecule: long non-coding RNA, 1406 nt
Filed under: Amazona collaria (yellow-billed parrot)
Lineage: Eukaryota; Metazoa; Chordata; Aves; Psittaciformes; Psittacidae
Description: lncRNA (ENSACOG00000002941.1)
Source: RNAcentral
GUGAUUCUCAUGACUGUGUCAUUGUCUCUUCAGAUUUUUUCACCUUUAAUAUUGGGAAAAGAGAGGAGGUAAAGGUUCAAUACCAAAACAAAAAAGAAAUGAAAGGGCAAUUGGUUGAACAAGAAAUCAUCUCAUACUUCAUGACUGAUCCCGCUGAGCAGCAGUAAGCACUGCAAAUGAGAUGGCCGAUUCUGAUGUGAGUGCACAGUAUCCCACAGACUAGAGGAUGAUGACUGACUGAUACAAGUUUGCAGCAGGAGGAUAUUUAUCCUACACAUAUAGUGACCUCCUCCAGAUUCCUAUUCACAGUGGAAUAAUCAGUUUCUUUCACUUUUUUUUUUUACACUGGGUCCUAACAGAAACUGAAAUGUCUGGACAGCCUAAAAGGAAUGAAUUUUUCCUGCUAAGCAACGAUGACAGCAGAUAUAAAUGCUCAUGUCCCUGUCAGCAUCUAAAAUCCUGCUUGCAACUGAGCAGGAUGACAGCACACCCCAGCCACGGCUUUUCCCAUAGAGCAUGGCCAAGCGACUGGAUGUGCCUUUGGGCAUCAAGAGCUGACUCCCUGUGCUUGACUUUGCAGUUCCAUAAGGAGGAUUUUUCUUCUGUUCACACACACAAUGUAAUCACUCCACUUGGCAAUGUAAGAAAAAUCUCAUUGCAUAAGCAUUCCAUCUCUGCUUACUGCAGUAGAAUCGGCAGAAGGGAAAGCAAGUGGAUCCAGUGGAUCAGAAAGGGAAAAAAAAGGUGGUGGUGGCAAGGAGCUGGAGUUCCCUGUGCUCAGAAAAGCUGAAGAAUGACACAGAUGGGGAUGAAGCUGAGCUGCGUGUCGGACAGGUACCUGCUCUCAAGUGAGAAAGGAUAUAGAUACGAACCUUCAAACACAGCUCAACAGAAGGAACUACUUUCAGAGAUACUUUCUGUCUCUCUCAUUUACUGAUUGCAAAUGGCAGGUCUGCAGUAGCAGCUAUAUUGCUUCAGCUGCUGUCGCAGUUCUCACCCUUUCCUAGCAGUAGCUAUUUCAUUUGUAUUGGUUUCAGUAUCUUUAAUUUCCAAGAUCGCUGCGUGUGAUAACAAGAGGAUACCUUGCAGUCUUGGGACAGUCAGGAUAUCUGUUGGUGGAAUUGUUUUGUUGGGUUUUUUCAUGUCCUGAAAGGCUGAUUCGGGAUGUGUUGGCCUUUAAAUAUAUUUAAAGCAAGAAAUUGCAUUUCAUCAGUAUUUCUUCUGCUCCCAUCAGAACCCCAGGUCUCACUCAGGCUCUUGCUUCCCAUAUAAGUCAUUAUAUUUUUAUUAACUAUUUUCUUGCUCAUUAAUAAAAUAUAUAUAUUUUACUUCUAAAUUAUGAGAACCACCAUCUUCUGUUAUGGGGUUGUCACUGUAGCCUUUGCUAUUCACUGCAGCCGUUUGGC